UAAGGCACGAUAAGGCCCCCUAGCUCGCGGCCUAUAAUGUGAGGCGCGGGAAGUGUGGGGGUAGUGUGGGGUGCGCGGCCUGGAUUUAUAGAGAGAAACUUUAUUUUGCCCAAAAUAAUACUAGCAUUUUAAACACACAUUAUGAAAACGUCAUAAUUUUGACGUUUUCAGACAACAGAGAGGAGUUAGUUUGCAAGAGGAGGCAUUAUCUUGAUGGUGGAGACAAACUGUCGAGCCCGGAGGAGAAAGGGAAGGGGAAAAGGAAGAAACUGAAGAAUGGUCGCUAUUCUGACGACGACGACGACGACGACAACGACGACGUAGUAUCGCUGGUAGGUAACUAAAGUUUUAUUACAGAAAUGUCAUCUAUAGGCCUUGUGGAUGAGUUAAAUUAAAAUCGUUGAAAAACUAAACUUCAUUAUGAUUUAAAGGAUCCUCAGUUAAGUCAAUGUAAGAAGAAGAAGAAGAGAAAAAACACAGGUCUUAACGUCUUAAUGGAACUGGAAAAGCAAGGAUCAUGUCAGCUGAACUCAAUUAAUGAAACCAGGAAUGAAUGCCAUCACCCAUCUUGUGAGCUGUUGAGGGAGAACAACCACAGGCUGCAGAGGGAAAAUGAUUCUCUCAAGGCAAAAAUAGCAACAUUGAAAUUGCUGCCAGACGUUUUGCAGAAGAUGGAGGAGUUUCUCCGCUCAGCACCAAGACCAACGACAACACCAAUACCAGCACCAAGACCAACACCAACACCAAGACCAGAACCAACACUAUCACCAGCACCAACAGCAGUUCCACCACCAGCAACAGAAGACCCAUCACCAGCUCCAGGUCCAUCAUCAGCAUCAGCAACAGAGGCCCUGGGCCACUCUGUCAUUCCAAAAGG
This is a long non-coding RNA of Gadus macrocephalus (Pacific cod), 877 nucleotides long. RefSeq lists it as uncharacterized. The transcript is spliced from 6 exons. Lineage: Eukaryota; Metazoa; Chordata; Actinopteri; Gadiformes; Gadidae. The record is from RefSeq and is a predicted model, not a curated record.